This 363-nucleotide ribosomal RNA is filed under the name uncultured eukaryote. RNAcentral's name for it is "partial 18S ribosomal RNA". It matches the Rfam family "Eukaryotic small subunit ribosomal RNA", at positions 592 to 976 of the family's 1831-position model. The record is from RNAcentral.
CAAUAGCGUAUACUAAUGUUGUUGCAGUUAAAAAGCUCGUAGUUGAACUUCUGGUAGGAGUGUCCCGGCCUUUUUGUUUUUACAAAUUGUAUGCUGUGUGACAUCUCUGGCCAUCCUUCUUCUUUGUUUAAAGAAGAUCUUUCACUGUAAAAAAAUUAGGGUGUUCAAAGCAAAGGUUUCUUUGGAAUAUAUUAGUAUGGGAUGAUAAGAUAGGCUCUAGAUGCUAUUUUGUUGGUUUGCACAUUUAGAGAAUGAUUAACAGGGACAGUUGGGGGUAUUCGUAUUUACAUGUCAGAGGUGAAAUUCUUGGAUUUUGGAAAGACGAACUACUGCGAAAGCAUUUACCAAGGAUGUUUUCAUUAA